AGGGCGAUUUAGUUUGUUGCAUUAGACCCGAAACCGAGUGAUCUAGCCAUGAGCAGGUUGAAGGUUGGGUAACACCAACUGGAGGACCGAACCCGCAUCUGUUGCAAUAGAUUGGGAUGACUUGUGGCUAGGGGUGAAAGGCCAAUCAAACUCGGAAAUAGCUGGUUCUCCGCGAAAUCUAUUUAGGUAGAGCGUCGACCGAAUACCCUGGGGGGUAGAGCACUGGAUGGGCUAUGGGGACUCACCGUCUUACUGAUCCUAACCAAACUCCGAAUACCCAGGAGUACUAGUCGGCAGACACACGGCGGGUGCUAACGUCCGUCGUGAAAAGGGCAACAACCCUAACCUCCAGCUAAGGUCCCCAAGUCAUGGCUAAGUGGGAAAGGAUGUGAGGAUCCCAAAACAACCAGGAUGUUGGCUUAGAAGCAGCCAUCAUUUAAAGAAAGCGUAACAGCUCACUGGUCUAAAUAAGGGUCUUUGCGCCGAAAAUGUAACGGGGCUGAAGCCAUGCACCGAAGCUGAGGAUGUGUAGCAAUACACGUGGUAGCGGAGCGUUCCGUAAGCUGAUGAAGGGAGACCCGUGAGGGCUCCUGGAGGUAUCGGAAGUGCGAAUGUUGACAUGAGUAACGAUAAAGAGGGUGAGAGACCCUCUCGCCGAAAGACCAAGGGUUCCUGCUUAAAGUUAAUCUGAGCAGGGUUAGCCGGCCCCUAAGACGAGGCGGACACGCGUAGUCGAUGGGAACCACGUUAAUAUUCGUGGGCCUGGUGGUAGUGACGGAUUGCUCAACUUGUGAGGUCUUAUUGGAUUGAUCUUGCAGGGACGCGGUUCCAGGAAAUAGCUCCACCGUAUAGACCGUACCCGAAACCGACACAGGUGGUCAGGUAGAGUAUACCAAGGCGCUUGAGAGAACUAUGUUGAAGGAACUCGGCAAAUUGCACGCGUAACUUCGGAAGAAGCGUGACCCCAUUUUACGCAAGUGAAGUGGGGUGGCACAGACCAGGGGGUAGCGACUGUUUAUCAAAAACACAGGGCUCUGCGAAGUCGCAAGACGACGUAUAGGGUCUGACGCCUGCCCGGUGCUGGAAGGUUAAGAGGAGAGGUGCAAGCUUUGAAUCGAAGCCCCAGUAAACGGCGGCCGUAACUAUAACGGUCCUAAGGUAGCGAAAUUCCUUGUCGGGUAAGUUCCGACCUGCACGAAUGGCGUAACGACUUCCCCGCUGUCUCCAACAUAGACUCAGUGAAAUUGAAUUCCCCGUGAAGAUGCGGGGUUCCUGCGGUCAGACGGAAAGACCCCGUGCACCUUUACUAUAGCUUUACACUGGCAUUCGUGUCGGCAUGUGUAGGAUAGGUGGUAGGCUUUGAAGCAGGGACGCCAGUUUCUGUGGAGCCAUCCUUGAAAUACCACCCUUAUCGUCAUGGAUGUCUAACCGCGGUCCGUUAUCCGGAUCCGGGACAGUGUAUGGUGGGUAGUUUGACUGGGGCGGUCGCCUCCGAAAGAGUAACGGAGGCGCGCGAUGGUGGGCUCAGACCGGUCGGAAAUCGGUCGUCGAGUGCAAUGGCAUAAGCCCGCCUGACUGCGAGACUGACAAGUCGAGCAGAGACGAAAGUCGGUCAUAGUGAUCCGGUGGUCCCGUGUGGAAGGGCCAUCGCUCAACGGAUAAAAGGUACGCCGGGGAUAACAGGCUGAUGACCCCCAAGAGUCCAUAUCGACGGGGUUGUUUGGCACCUCGAUGUCGACUCAUCGCAUCCUGGGGCUGGAGCAGGUCCCAAGGGUAUGGCUGUUCGCCAUUUAAAGCGGUACGUGAGUUGGGUUCAGAACGUCGUGAGACAGUUCGGUCCCUAUCUGCCGUGGGUGUAGGAAUAUUGACAGGAUCUGUCCCUAGUACGAGAGGACCGGGAUGGACAUAUCUCUGGUGGACCUGUUGUCCUGCCAAGGGCAUAGCAGGGUAGCUACAUAUGGAAUGGAUAACCGCUGAAGGCAUCUAAGCGGGAAACCAACCUGAAAACGAGUAUUCCCUAUCAGAGCCGUGGAAGACGACCACGUUGAUAGGCCGGGUGUGGAAGCGCAGCAAUGUGUGAAGCUUACCGGUACUAAUAGCUCGAUUGGCUUGAUCGUUCUCAUU
RNAcentral lists this ribosomal RNA (2124 nucleotides) under Rhizobium sp. RHZ01. RNAcentral describes it as "partial 23S ribosomal RNA". It matches the Rfam family "Bacterial large subunit ribosomal RNA", at positions 689 to 2925 of the family's 2925-position model. Lineage: Bacteria; Pseudomonadati; Pseudomonadota; Alphaproteobacteria; Hyphomicrobiales; Rhizobiaceae. The record is from RNAcentral.